GGUUCCCUCCAACCCAAACCAGGCUGGGAUUCUAUGACAGCGUCACUCCUUGCCCAUCUGGGGACACAGCCAUUACCCCACCAUCCCCAUUCCCAGCGUGAGCUGCUGGGUCUCAUCUUGCCCCUGGACCUCCCACAUGGGUGCUCACUGUGUCACAGGAUGGUUGUCACCCACCUCAGCCUUGAAGUUCACCACCUCCUCCUUCAGGGCUGCGAUCUCCCUGUAAAGCUGCUCGAUUAACUGAUCCUUGGGAAGAAAGGGCCACCCUGCACAUCACCUCCGUUGCGUCUUGUGGUGGGGACCAGGACCUGGUCGCUGUACAGCCCCGAGGAGCAGGGAUGGCUUUGGCCUCCUCAGCAGUUGCCGAGGUUCCGCCGCGCGGCUCCCGCAGCGCGUUCCGGGCCGGUGGCCGUUAGCGGAGAGCCGGAGAGAGAUGGCGCUGCCGAGCCCGUGGCGCUGCCCCUGGCGCUGGCCGGCGGCGCUGCCGCUGGCGCUGGCAGUGAUGCUGACCUGCCUGGCGCAGGGAUCGCUGCUGGGAGCGGUGCUGGGCGCGGGGGGUGCCUGGUGUGCGGUGCGGUCCCGCCCGCCCGCCAGGCGCCCUCCGGCCCGGCGCUCUCCGGCGCGGUUCCUGCCCCCCCGGCGCCCUCCCCCACUGCUCCUGCCCCCUUACAGGCCCAGUCUCAUCGCCCGGUUCCCGCCCCCUUGGCUCCAGGUCUACCACCGCCUGUGGGCCAAAAGGGCCGGUAACUGUGGUCUGGCCGCAGGCGCCGGCCCCAGUGUUUGCACCCUAUCCCGCGGCAACUGCCUUGGAGCCCCGCUGCAGACCGUGCGCCGCCAGGACCCGCUGCCGCCGCACCGGAGCCCUGGAACGGUUUUCCCGACGAAGUGGAUGUGUAUGAGGACGUCCCCACAGCCCAUUGCAGGAUCCUGCUUUGAUGUGCCUCUUGGGAAAGGAAGGCAAUGGGAGGUGCGGCAUCCAACGAAUUUUGCGCCAGGAACACCGAAGAGGGCUGUGCAGACCGAGGAAGCUGUCAAGAGGCCUGAGCAGAAGAGGCAGGAGUCCCCAAGCCCACCACCAUCACCGGGAAACGGAAGGCCACGCAAGAGGAGCAUCUGCCUGCUGGUGCCUUGGAAUAAUGAACCACUGGUGCUGCCCCCUGCACCUGACCCGGGUUACCCCAUCACGCCGGAGAUCAUCGAGGAGGAGAGGAAGGCAGCACAAGAGCGCUUGCGUCGGCUCUUGGGGCAUAAGUCUGCAGAUGUGGUCCCCAGCACCGGUGGGGAAGAUGUGUCCCUGGGCACAGCCAUCGCCCAGGGCUCCUCUGGCACCAGCCAUACAGAGGCAGCGUUUUCGAGCACGCCAUCGGAUGUUUCUGGGCUGGCCGCUUCCACCACCAACGGCCAUAUGCACAUCAGCCAGCCCAGAAGCAGGAGCCCGCCCGUGUUAGGAGGAACUCCUGCGCCCUUCUUUGGCCAGCGCCCCUCAGGCCUUGGAAGAGUCAUCGCUUCCUCUGGCAGAGAGGGAGUUGGUGCUUCAGCCUUGAGGAGCUGACGGCUCGUGUUGUGCCCUUGGGCUGGGGGAUGGCGGAAGGGCCAGGCUGUGCUGUCAGAGCCGGCUUGGGUGGUACCUGCUGAGCUCUGGGGAUGAAAACCUUUCAUUCCCUUCGGGAUAGGGAUUGUGGCAGCCCCUGUGCCAGCUCAGAGUGUGGCUGCAGACGCCUGAUCAAUUUUUGUGCUUCCAGGUUCGUCCACCCGCACCUCGUCCACCCCGGCAAGGAUCCAAGGAACUUGCAAGCGGCAAAAGGAGGAGGACCGCUCCGAUGCCAAGUGGCCGUUUGGACAACCAGCAACAAAACGUCGUCGGCCGUGAUAUUCAUUGGAGAUUUUAUUGUUCUACAUGUGUUCUUCACUUGUUUUAAUAUUGUUGUUAUACUGUUGUUCUUUUGUUAUUUUAUUGUUCUUUUGAUGUUCUAAUAUUGUUCUAUUAUUGUUGUUAAACCUUUAUACUAUUUGUAAUUAAACCUUUGUACUACUUUGUUGUA
Strigops habroptila (Kakapo) is the source of this 2042-nucleotide RNA transcript. RefSeq lists it as uncharacterized. Lineage: Eukaryota; Metazoa; Chordata; Aves; Psittaciformes; Psittacidae. The record is from RefSeq and is a predicted model, not a curated record. The transcript is spliced from 9 exons.